GUCUACGGCCACACCGCCCUGAACGCGCCCGAUCCCGUCUGACCUCGGAAAGCUAAGCAGGGUCGGGCCCGCUCAGUACCUGGAUGGGAGUAUUACUGAAAAUGGGGCCCAAAGACU
This 117-nucleotide ribosomal RNA is filed under the name Propithecus coquereli (Coquerel's sifaka). Lineage: Eukaryota; Metazoa; Chordata; Mammalia; Primates; Indriidae. The record is from RNAcentral.